This 497-nucleotide ribosomal RNA is filed under the name uncultured bacterium. Its description in RNAcentral is "partial 16S ribosomal RNA". It matches the Rfam family "Bacterial small subunit ribosomal RNA", at positions 28 to 507 of the family's 1533-position model. The record is from RNAcentral.
GAUGAACGCUGGCGGCGUGCCUAAUACAUGCAAGUCGAGCGAACAGACGGGGAGCUUGCUCCUCUGACGUUAGCGGCGGACGGGUGAGUAACACGUGGAUAACCUACCUAUAAGACUGGGAUAACUUCGGGAAACCGGAGCUAAUACCGGAUAAUAUAUUGAACCGCAUGGUUCAAUAGUGAAAGACGGUUUUGCUGUCACUUAUAGAUGGAUCCGCGCCGCAUUAGCUAGUUGGUAAGGUAACGGCUUACCAAGGCAACGAUGCGUAGCCGACCUGAGAGGGUGAUUGGCCACACUGGAACUGAGACACGGUCCAGACUCCUACGGGAGGCAGCAGUAGGGAAUCUUCCGCAAUGGGCGAAAGCCUGACGGAGCAACGCCGCGUGAGUGAUGAAGGUCUUCGGAUCGUAAAACUCUGUUAUUAGGGAAGAACAAAUGUGUAAGUAACUAUGCACGUCUUGACGGUACCUAAUCAGAAAGCCACGGCUAACUACGUG